Molecule: ribosomal RNA, 253 nt
Filed under: uncultured prokaryote
Description: partial 16S ribosomal RNA
Rfam family: Bacterial small subunit ribosomal RNA
Source: RNAcentral
UACAGAGGGUGCAAGCGUUAAUCGGAGUUACUGGGCGUAAAGGGCGCGUAGGCGGUUAUAUAAGUGAGAUGUGAAAUCCCUGGGCUCAACCUAGGAACUGCAUCUUAUACUGUAUGACUGGAGUAUUGUAGAGGGUAGUGGAAUUUCCGGUGUAGCGGUGAAAUGCGUAGAGAUCGGAAGGAACACCAGUGGCGAAGGCGGCUACCUGGACAAAUACUGACGCUGAGGCGCGAAAGCGUGGGGAGCAAACAGG